Molecule: long non-coding RNA, 269 nt
Filed under: Elaeis guineensis (African oil palm)
Lineage: Eukaryota; Viridiplantae; Streptophyta; Magnoliopsida; Arecales; Arecaceae
Description: long non-coding RNA (EGUI_LNC062316)
Source: RNAcentral
CCUACUAUUCCACAUGCACACUUAGAGAUAAUUAGGAGAUAAAGAAGAGAUAAUGUUAGGAUAAUUAUACCAACUAAUUGACUUAAUCAAAUCUUUUUAGGCUCAUAAUUAAGAAUCUAAUUAAAUCCAAAUAAAUUUAGAUUAGAUUCAAGGCUAUGGACUUGAUCAAAUUGAAGUCCUAAGAAGAAUUAGGUUUAACUGCGUGCUAGUAUGGUUCUCAUAAACCUAUAAUGAUUUCAAUAAACCCUAAUCCAAUUGAAACUUCAUAA